This 408-nucleotide long non-coding RNA is filed under the name Cricetulus griseus (Chinese hamster). RNAcentral's name for it is "lncRNA (ENSCGRG00015041871.1)". The record is from RNAcentral. Lineage: Eukaryota; Metazoa; Chordata; Mammalia; Rodentia; Cricetidae.
GGAAAUGUAGUAGAGAAGUGGUGAUCCAGGCAGGAAGUGACAUAGCAAAGAGACUCAUAUUUAAGCAAGGACAAACAGGAAGCCCCCCCUUUUCCCCUUCGCGUCCUCCAGCGGUGCCUUGUGAUCCACCGGCAAGAGAGGGUGCUAGCGGAAGGCAUCCUCUAUAAGAUGAUUCUUAUAAAAUAUAUAGAUUUAUGAUAAUUAAGACUGAGCUAACAGAUGAGAAAUCCUAGUCAUUGGCCAAGCAGCAUUCAGGACCACUGGAAGAGACCAAGUGGCUGAGUUCAGGCUGUCGUUCAGACUGACCCCAAUGCUUCAUCUUGAAAUUCUCAUGUUGUGGUGAUUGCUUCAAGCACUUUAAUGAACACGGCAUAGUGGGGAGCAGAUGAAAUCCUAGUGAAUGUGUAC